GUUCAAUUAUUAACGAAAAAAUGUCUAAGUAGAAAUUAAGAUUCAUUUGAAUUUGAUUAAGAAAAUAAAGGAAAAUACAAUGGAGUUUUGACUCCAAGGUUUAUUAGGAAAGAUUUGAGUGAUGGAAUUAAUUUGCUUUGAAAAAUGAACAUUUUCUAAGCAUCGCGUCUCCUAAACAUACAUCUAAAACGGUAAACAUACAACGUGUGUGCGUGUCGGUGCUUGUGUCGGUGUACAUCACUAUAGAGAGUCCAUUGUCCUUUACAUUGCCCUAGUUUACAUGCUAUGGUCUUGUAAGGAAUUAAAAGGAAAUUAAACUACCUAAAAUUACAUGUCCAUUUGACAUAGAAAUUGAAAAGGUAAAGUGGCUAAACUAUGAGAGAUGGGGAUGAAAUGGUAAAAUGCUCAAGAAAUGGAUGAAAAAUGAAAUAAAAUGGUUAGUAGUAUAAGGCAUAAAAUGGUAAGAAAAAAGUAAGCAAUUGAAUAUGAGAUAAAACGGCAAAAUGACGACAAUAACCAAAAUAUAAAAGGAAACACAUUACUUGAAACACAAGAAACUAACAAAACAUAUUAAAAACAGUAACACAAGCAUAUGAUCAGUAGCAUAUUCAUCACAAGAUUGCAUAUUAAUCACUCAUACCAUGGAUCAAGAUAUUAUGAACAAAAAGUGGCAAGAAAUUGCACAAAAUUCCACUAGAAAAGAAGAAAAACAAUCAAGAAAAUACACAUAUAUUUUUAUCAAUUUUUGACAUGUAAAAACAACACAAAGAUAUCAAAAAUGCAUUAAAGAACACAUAGGGAUCUUUUAGGAAUUUUAUGAGAAAAAUUGAACAAGCAGAGGUUCAAACAGCAAGCAAACAAGGUGUGAAUAGCAAGAAAAUAGCAAGAAAACAAAGAAAACCAAAGACAGAGGCCCAAGCCCAACGCCUAAAAGCCUGGGUGCACAGGAACCACAGGAUUGAUCCAGGGAAUCAAACCCUAGAUCAAACGGCCAGGAUUGAAGGGAAAUGGACCGGUUUUGGACCGGUCCGGUUCACUGGCCUAUAUAUAUGUAAAGACACCGGUUUAUUUCAUUUGCAAUACUCCUUUCUCUCUCUAACUCCCUCGCUCUCUCACUAGCCUCUCGUCUUCUCUCUUCUCUUCGCCGGUUUCUGGAAGGAGACGGCCGGAGAAGAUGAAGAUUCAUCGGAAUCUUCAUCGACUCCGCCGUGAAUUCCAGAUUCCGGCGAGCCCUAACCUCACCAGAAAAUCAUGAAUCCUACAUCAAUCAACUCGUUUCUUCACCCUAAACAUGAAUCUAACGCCAGAAAUCACAUGCAAGGCUUGAAUCUUUGUAGAUCUACAUUCUUUGUUACGGUUUUGAAAAUUAUUUUUUUUAGGUUUUCAAAUUCUUUGAAAGAAACUGUUUGAAACCUUGAGGAUCUACAUGGAUUCGUCCUUAUUGAUGCUUUUUAAGAAAGAACGGUGGAGUUAUAUGUUUACCUGUGAUUUAAUCGGAGAUUUCGAACAAGAUUUUUUAGAAAUCUUCGAUUUGAUUCUGUUUGUUGAUUUUUGACUUGAAACCGAAAAUAAAUCGGUGUUUCUUGCUGGUUUGAUUCCUUCUUCUUCUUCACCGGAUCAUAUUCUUCAUCUUCUUUCUUUCUUCUUCUUCUUCAAAAACUCUGUGAUCGUGCUUGAGUUUGUCACCACUUGGUGAUGAAUUCGCACUUGAAUUGCAGAGGAAAACGAUUCAAU
RNAcentral lists this long non-coding RNA (1734 nucleotides) under Medicago truncatula (barrel medic). RNAcentral's name for it is "long non-coding RNA (MTRU_LNC001779)". Lineage: Eukaryota; Viridiplantae; Streptophyta; Magnoliopsida; Fabales; Fabaceae. The record is from RNAcentral.